GAUGAACGCUGGCGGCGUGCCUAAUACAUGCAAGUCGAGCGAACAGACGAGGAGCUUGCUCCUCUGACGUUAGCGGCGGACGGGUGAGUAACACGUGGAUAACCUACCUAUAAGACUGGGAUAACUUCGGGAAACCGGAGCUAAUGCCGGAUAAUAUAUUGAACCGCAUGGUUCAAUAGUGAAAGACGGUUUUGCUGUCACUUAUAGAUGGAUCCGCGCCGCAUUAGCUAGUUGGUAAGGUAACGGCUUACCAAGGCAACGAUGCGUAGCCGACCUGAGAGGGUGAUCGGCCACACUGGAACUGAGACACGGUCCAGACUCCUACGGGAGGAAGCAGUAGGGAAUCUUCCGCAAUGGGCGAAAGCCUGACGGAGCAACGCCGCGUGAGUGAUGAAGGUCUUCGGAUCGUAAAACUCUGUUAUUAGGGAAGAACAAAUGUGUAAGUAACUAUGCACGUCUUGACGGUACCUAAUCAGAAAGCCACGGCUAACUACGUG
This 497-nucleotide ribosomal RNA is filed under the name uncultured bacterium. Its description in RNAcentral is "partial 16S ribosomal RNA". It matches the Rfam family "Bacterial small subunit ribosomal RNA", at positions 28 to 507 of the family's 1533-position model. The record is from RNAcentral.